RNAcentral lists this ribosomal RNA (92 nucleotides) under Solemya velum gill symbiont. Lineage: Bacteria; Pseudomonadati; Pseudomonadota; Gammaproteobacteria. The record is from RNAcentral.
GUCUACGGCCAUACCACGUUGAAAGCACCGGUUCUCGUCCGAUCACCGAAGUUAAGCAACGUCGGGCCCGGUUAGUACUUGGAUGGGUGACC